RNAcentral lists this long non-coding RNA (1440 nucleotides) under Oncorhynchus mykiss (rainbow trout). Its description in RNAcentral is "lncRNA (ENSOMYG00000054571.1)". Lineage: Eukaryota; Metazoa; Chordata; Actinopteri; Salmoniformes; Salmonidae. The record is from RNAcentral.
AAAAAAGCUGUAAAAAAAGCCAGCAUAUGGUUAACAGUAGAAGACGGGGAUAGGACAACAGGUCUAUGGUUAACAGUAGAAGACGGGGAUAGGACAACAGGUCUAUGGUUAACAGUGGAAGACAGGGAUAGGACAACAGGUCUAUGGUUAACAGUGGAAGACAGGGAUAGGACAACAGGUCUAUGGUUAACAGUGGAAGACAGGACAACAGGUCUAUGGUUAACAGUGGAAGACAGGGAUAGGACAACAGGUCUAUGGUUAACAGUAGAAGACGGGGAUAGGACAACAGGUCUAUGGUUAACAGUAGAAGACAGGGAUAGGACAACAGGUCUAUGGUUAACAGUAGAAGACAGGGAUAGGAGAACAGGUUUAUGGUUAACAGUGGAAGACAGGGACAGGACAACAGGUCUAUGGUUAACAGUAGAAGACAGGGAUAGGACAACAGGUAUAUGGUUAACAGUGGAAGACGGGGAUAGGACAACAGGUCUAUGGUUAACAGUGGAAGACAGUGAUAGGACAACAGGUCUAUGGUUAACAGUAGAAGACAGGGAUAGGACAACAGGUCUAUGGUUAACAGUGGAAGACAGGGAUAGGACAACAGGUCUAUGGUUAACAGUGGAAGACAGGGAUAGGACAACAGGUCUAUGGUUAACAGUGGAAGACAGGGAUAGGACAACAGGUCUAUGGUUAACAGUGGAAGACAGGACAACAGGUCUAUGGUUAACAGUGGAAGACAGGGAUAGGACAACAGGUCUAUGGUUAACAGUGGAAGACAGGACAACAGGUCUAUGGUUAACAGUAGAAGACAGGGAUAGGACAACAGGUCUAUGGUUAACAGUAGAAGACGGGGAUAGGACAACAGGUCUAUGGUUAACAGUGGAAGACAGUGAUAGGACAACAGGUCUAUGGUUAACAGUGGAAGACAGGGAUAGGACAACAGGUCUAUGGUUAACAGUAGAAGACGGGGAUAGGACAACAGGUCUAUGGUUAACAGUGGAAGACAGGGAUAGGACAACAGGUCUAUGAUUAACAGUAGAAGACAGUGAUAGGACAACAGGUCUAUGGUUAACAGUGGAAGACAGGGAUAGGACAACAGGUCUAUGGUUAACAGUAGAAGACAGGGAUAGGACAACAGGUCUAUGGUUAACAGUAGAAGACAGGACAACAGGUCUAUGGUUAACAGUGGAAGACAGGGAUAGGACAACAGGUCUAUGGUUAACAGUAGAAGACAGGACAACAGGUCUAUGGUUAACAGUGGAAGACAGGGAUAGGACAACAGGUCUGUAUUUCAGUGAGGAGGUGGAAUUUUGGUGCAGAGUUGGUCAGGGGGUCACUCCUUUUAUCUGAGCUACACCUGUCUGGGGUCAAAGGUUAAAGGUCAGGGGUCAGGAGUCUGGAACGGUCGAUCUAUAUCACUUAAUUUUUAUUGGACGUCCCCAG